Molecule: non-coding RNA, 27 nt
Filed under: Cricetulus griseus (Chinese hamster)
Lineage: Eukaryota; Metazoa; Chordata; Mammalia; Rodentia; Cricetidae
Also listed under: 1 other name
Source: RNAcentral
CCCCACGGGACUCAGCAGUGAUAAAAA